CAACUACUCCCUCCGUCCGAAAAAGCUUAUCCCAAGCUUGUCCCUCAAAUGGAUGUAUCUAGCACUAACUUGGUGCUAGAUAGACCCAUUUGAGGGACAAGCUUUUACGGACGGAGGGAGUAGCAC
This is a non-coding RNA of Triticum aestivum (bread wheat), 126 nucleotides long. The record is from Rfam. Lineage: Eukaryota; Viridiplantae; Streptophyta; Magnoliopsida; Poales; Poaceae.